UACGGGGGGAGCAAGCGUUGUUCGGAUUUACUGGGCGUAAAGGGCGCGUAGGCGGCCACCGCAAGUCAGUUGUGAAAUCUCUGGGCUUAACCCAGAACGGUCAGCUGAUACUGCGGGGCUAGAGUGCAGAAGGGGCAACUGGAGUUCUCGGUGUAGCGGUGAAAUGCGUAGAUAUCGAGAGGAACACCUGCGGCGAAGGCGGGUUGCUGGGCUGACACUGACGCUGACAGCGCGAAAGCUAGGGGAGCGAACGGG
RNAcentral lists this ribosomal RNA (255 nucleotides) under uncultured bacterium. Its description in RNAcentral is "partial 16S ribosomal RNA". It matches the Rfam family "Bacterial small subunit ribosomal RNA", at positions 524 to 776 of the family's 1533-position model. The record is from RNAcentral.